CAGUCUUAGUCUUCUUAGUGGCUUCUUGCUAGUCUUCUCGAUGGUCUUUUUAACUGUGGACCUAUUUUCUGCUACGCAUGCCUUGCUCACAUCAACUUCCUUAUCCUAAUCUCCACUGAAAAAUCUGGUCUCUGGAACAGUUCUCCAAGUGUACAAUUGUAUUGUUUUCACCAUUAUCUCGUGUGGGUCGUGAGUGUUGAUGCGAGGGCCAUACAUUUAUAACACUAUAGAAGAUGUCCUAAGUAUUUUAAAUUAAGUCACUCUCUUAAAUACAUGUUCUACAUGGAUAGAGUGACUUUGUUGAUUUUUUUGCUCUU
Non-coding RNA from Cinara cedri, 317 nucleotides. NCBI's taxonomy places the organism in Eukaryota, Metazoa, Arthropoda, Insecta, Hemiptera, Aphididae. The record is from the annotation of a GenBank genome assembly.